Crotalus tigris (Tiger rattlesnake) is the source of this 550-nucleotide long non-coding RNA. RefSeq lists it as uncharacterized. NCBI's taxonomy places the organism in Eukaryota, Metazoa, Chordata, Lepidosauria, Squamata, Viperidae. The transcript is spliced from 3 exons. The record is from RefSeq and is a predicted model, not a curated record.
CCCUAAAGGAGGCCGGGCGGAAAUGACCUCUUACAAAGGCAUUGGAAAACUAGGAACUCCAAAUAAGAGAUCAAAAGCAAACCAAAGGACAAUUAUCAAAAAAUCCUGUUUCCCAAGGAAAUAUUUCCAGGAUCUUGAUGACUGAUAAGGAAAGGACAAAAGUGAAGUGGGGAAGGCCAGCUUCUUCCUAUCCCGAUCCAAUCUAAGAAUUACAAAGGUCCCCAAAUCCUUAUUGUUUUCUUGCAUAUGUGCUCUUGUUUGAGGCCUGCCAUUCUGCUGGGAGGGAGGGAGAGAAGUUUACUUUCACUUGGGAUAACUUUUGCUUUCUGCUUUUCCUCUUCCACCCCUAUCCACUUGAGAAAAGACUGUGUCUCCCUUAUCAGGGAGGCAGCUAUGGAGAAACGAAACUGGAGAAGAUCUUGAGAUGUGCGCCAACUGUGCCAGUUACCCAAAAAUCGUACCACCUGUGGAUUGGCUGGAUUUCAAAUGGACACUAUGACUUUGGUGGGAGGAGGAAGAUUGCUAGUUUAACUAUACCAGGGGUAGGCAA